GGGACAAAACCUUGAUGAGGGAAAAAGAGUAAAGCCUCCAAGGCCUAGGGAUUGGCCAGUGAGUCUUUGUGCCUUACCAACAAUGUAAGGGACACAAAGACUCUGGAUCUCGGCCCCUUCUUGUGAUGCAAGGUAGAUCACAUCUUCUCUUGCUCAUCACUCUUCAUCUUGUACUCAUCUCACGGUCUGAUCUCCUUCACUUCCCUUUUCACCUAACCGGCUUGCUAGAUGACUAGAAUGGAACCUUCAGAUCAUCCUCUCAAGAGUAUCAAGUAAUAGCUGAGCCUUGGCUGCUUCUUCUUCUAGAGUUUCCACCUUGUUCUAAAGCUUCAUGGUCGGAUGCCUCAGCCUGUAGUACCAAGGCUGCUCUGCUUUGGCCGCCUUGGAGAUUGCUUCACCAUCCUCCAUCUUGCUUCACAAACCAGUCGGCUCCUCUUCUUGAAUAACCGCCAAGUGCUCUCAUCAAGAAGCCUUCUCAACACUCCCCCUCAAGCUUGACCAUGUGGAACAAGUCAAGCUUGGAAGGAGAGCUUCUUGAUCUUCUACAUUUGCUCACUGCCGUCCACCUUCUUGAACCGGCACCUUUGUGAUCAUUUGAAGUCUUCUCAACACUCCCCCUCAAGCUUGACCAUGUGGAACAAGUCAAGCUUGGGAGAGCAGCUUCAUGAUCACACCAUCAGACCCUUGCAACACUUCUUCAACUCGCCAUCUUCAGGGAAUGCUCUUGUGGAACUUUCUUCUUCUGCUCACUUAACUCCCCUCCUCAAGCUUGAAUAGAAUGAGGGUCCAAGCUUGGAAGUGAGCAGCCGUGAGUCUUCACUAACCAGUGGCACAUAACCACUUCAGUAACUGCUCUCCAUUGCUCAUGACAAUGGGCAAUGCCUUCCUCUUUCUCUUGGAUUGGUGAAGAACUAAGAACACUCCUUGUGCACCUGAAACACCACUCAACCUCCAGAGAAGAUUAGACAUAGGUGCAUUGGGUCAGUCCUUGAUUCCACAUCAAGCUUGAACACCAAUGUCUCACUAAAGCAAUGCAAGAUCAAACAAGACAUCCAAGUUUCAAAUCAUUGCAAGCUCAACUCUCUAAGUUCUAGUAUGAUCCUACAGAUUCAUUACAAGACACUUAGGCAAUUUUUGACAGCUCCUUUACUCAGCUACUAGACAUUAAUCUAGUGCCUCAAUGUAAGGUAACUUCAAGCCACUAUGCACUAGCUUUCAGUCGGUUUUAACUCAUGUAUGCAAGCAGAUUCAAUCAAUCACAACAAGCACUACAAUGAACCGGAGCUAAGCAUUUUAAAAUUAAUCUCAAUCACCAAACAAGUCUCUUUAAGCAUCCUGAGAUAGAUUCUAAAUUCAUUUCAUUUCAUUUAGCAAUCUUUAAACAAUCCUCAGGUUUUCAAUCACAUCACAACACACAACCAGAUCUUAUCACAAGCUCAUUAUCACUUAAGGUUUAAAGAAUCGCUUACUAUCAAGGAACCAGGUUGGUCCUUGUAUCACUCUCGGAUGGUAAGCUCAUGACUUUGAGGAUAUGUGAGUCUGGAUCGUUACCCAUCUCCUUCUCCUUCAGUUCAUGACUUCCUCCUUGUUUCUCAUACUCACAAACCCCUCCUUUCUUCAAGCCCUCUACUCGCCAUCUUCUGGAUAGCUUUCUCUUCACACCAGAUGAGGAACAGCCUUUGGACAAGGCGCCAUGGACAAGGUUCGCGAGGCCUCUCCACACACCUUUGCUUCCAACAAGAGUCUUCAUCAGGUACAGGUUGAACUGGCUGAGAGAUAAGGAGUAACACGCCAUGCUUCAGUCUUCU
RNAcentral lists this long non-coding RNA (1808 nucleotides) under Brassica rapa (field mustard). Its description in RNAcentral is "long non-coding RNA (BRAP_LNC008900)". Lineage: Eukaryota; Viridiplantae; Streptophyta; Magnoliopsida; Brassicales; Brassicaceae. The record is from RNAcentral.